AUGUAGCGCAAUGAAUAGCGCGUUGGACAUCUAAGCCAAAGGUCGUGUAUUCGAAUCCCACCUGGAAUG
Non-coding RNA from Trichonephila clavipes, 69 nucleotides. The record is from the annotation of a GenBank genome assembly. Lineage: Eukaryota; Metazoa; Arthropoda; Arachnida; Araneae; Nephilidae.